RNAcentral lists this transfer RNA (77 nucleotides) under Morganella morganii. RNAcentral describes it as "tRNA-Met". It matches the Rfam family "tRNA". Rfam says of the family: Transfer RNA (tRNA) molecules are approximately 80 nucleotides in length. Their secondary structure includes four short double-helical elements and three loops (D, anti-codon, and T loops). The record is from RNAcentral. Lineage: Bacteria; Pseudomonadati; Pseudomonadota; Gammaproteobacteria; Enterobacterales; Morganellaceae.
CGCGGGAUGGAGCAGCAUGGUAGCUCGUUGGGCUCAUAACCCGAAGGUCGUCGGUUCAAAUCCGGCUCCCGCAACCA